Molecule: ribosomal RNA, 527 nt
Filed under: uncultured bacterium
Lineage: Bacteria
Description: bacterial SSU rRNA
Rfam family: Bacterial small subunit ribosomal RNA
Source: RNAcentral
CACGUGGGUGGCGAGCGUUAUUCGGAUUUACUGGGCGUAAAGGGUCCGCAGGGGGCCUGCCACGCCUGCCGUGAAAUUCCAAGGCUCAACCUUGGACCUGCGGCGGGUACGGGCGGGCUAGAGUGCAAGAAGGGCAGACGGAAUUCCAGGUGUAGCGGUGGAAUGCGUAGAUAUCUGGAAGAACACCGAUGGCGAAGGCGGUCUGCUGGCUUGUAACUGACCCUCAGGGACGAGAGCGUGGGUAGCAAACAGGAUUAGAUACCCUGGUAGUCCACGCCGUAAACGUUGUGUGCCAGAUGUGGGUGGGUUCGGCCCCAUCCGUGUCCAAGCUAACGCGGUAAGCACACCGCCUGGGGACUACGGCCGCAAGGCUAAAACUCAAAGGAAUUGACGGGGGCCCGCACAAGCGGUGGAGCAUGUUGCUUAAUUCGAGGCAACGCGAAGAACCUUACCCAGGUUUGACAUGCUUUCGACCGGCGUUGAAAGACGCCUUUCCUUCGGGACGGAAGCACAGAUGCUGCAUGGCU